GACCCUAUCGUCUAGUGGCCAAGGACCUCAGGAUUUCCUCCUGAUGACGCUGGUUCAAAUCCAGCUGGGGUCGCCA
Molecule: transfer RNA, 76 nt
Filed under: Malaciobacter mytili
Lineage: Bacteria; Pseudomonadati; Campylobacterota; Epsilonproteobacteria; Campylobacterales; Arcobacteraceae
Also listed under: 1 other name
Description: tRNA-Glu
Rfam family: tRNA
About the family: Transfer RNA (tRNA) molecules are approximately 80 nucleotides in length. Their secondary structure includes four short double-helical elements and three loops (D, anti-codon, and T loops). Further hydrogen bonds mediate the characteristic L-shaped molecular structure. tRNAs have two regions of fundamental functional importance: the anti-codon, which is responsible for specific mRNA codon recognition, and the 3' end, to which the tRNAs corresponding amino acid is attached (by aminoacyl-tRNA synthetases). tRNAs cope with the degeneracy of the genetic code in two manners: having more than one tRNA (with a specific anti-codon) for a particular amino acid; and 'wobble' base-pairing, i.e. permitting non-standard base-pairing at the 3rd anti-codon position.
Source: RNAcentral